GUUUUAAUAAUUUAAAAAAAAUAUUGAUUUUGUAAAUCAAAACUAAGUGUAUACUUUUAAAACU
Molecule: transfer RNA, 64 nt
Filed under: Tegyrius keralaensis
Lineage: Eukaryota; Metazoa; Arthropoda; Insecta; Coleoptera; Chrysomelidae
Description: tRNA-Thr
Source: RNAcentral